Molecule: long non-coding RNA, 816 nt
Organism: Lotus japonicus
Lineage: Eukaryota; Viridiplantae; Streptophyta; Magnoliopsida; Fabales; Fabaceae
Exons: 3
Source: RefSeq, a predicted model, not a curated record
GUCACAGGCUUCUCAGAAAUUUCCUCUCACACUCUCAUGGCUGCCGUCGUCGCUUCUACUCCACCGUCGGCGCCGCUCUUGCGCCGUUGAACUCGCCAUCGCUCUUGCUCCAUCGUUGGCGUGAAGGUUUGUUCGCUCGUGAGGUCCCACCGUUUGCAUGAAGGUUUGUUCCAGUUAUUUUCGCUCAAGUCGCACAAAGCAAAUCUCCCUCUUCAUCCACUUCUGCGUCGUUUCACCGUCUGUCGUCGUCAAACAACAACCGCCUCUCAACCACUUCAUCUGGAACACCCUCAUUCGCACCACCAUUUUAAGUGUGUUUCUAGAUUCUAAUAUGAGUGGUAAUGACCAAGCUUCUGGUUCUAGUCACAACAUUAGGGGCUUAAUCGCCGAUGUCGGUGCUGGUGCCGCCGCGGGGGCAAUAACAGCUACAUUUGUGUGUCCAUUGGAUGUCAUCAAGACAAGGCUAUAAGUUCAUGGCCUUCCUCCUUCGCAGAAAGGUUUGGGUUGGAACUUGCGGUUUCAUCACCUCUAUAAGCCUCGACAUCUCAGGAUAGAGGGAUCAAUCUGCUUUGUGUUUCCCUUCUGUGGAUGUGAAGCUGCUUGAAUCAAGAGGUACAUCCCUAUCUGUCUAAGUUUGAAGCUACUGAAGGGUUUGACACAUGUGCUUGUGGGUAAAAUCGUUGUUGGGACUUAACUUUAUGGGUUCUCACUAUGAUGAAUUAUAUGCUGAGUUUGAUGACCUUGUAUUUAGAUGAAUAUUUAUGUCUUUGACACUAACGUUUUUAGUUAUGCUUUUGACAUUUUACCAUCACUAUG